UACGUAGGCAGCAAACGUUGUUCGGAAUUACUGGGCGUAAAGAGUGUGUAGGCGGUCUUGUUAGUUUGGUGUGAAAUCUCCCGGCUUAACUGGGAGGGUGCGCCGAAUACUGCAAGGCUUGAGUACUGGAGAGGAUAGCGGAAUUCCUGGUGUAGCGGUGAAAUGCGUAGAUAUCAGGAGGAACACCUGUGGUGUAGACAGCUUACUGGACCACUUCUGACGCUGAGACACGAAAGCGUGGGUAGCAAACAGG
Molecule: ribosomal RNA, 253 nt
Filed under: uncultured prokaryote
Description: partial 16S ribosomal RNA
Rfam family: Bacterial small subunit ribosomal RNA
Source: RNAcentral